RNAcentral lists this long non-coding RNA (975 nucleotides) under Agrilus planipennis (emerald ash borer). Its description in RNAcentral is "uncharacterized LOC108739543, transcript variant X4". The record is from RNAcentral. Lineage: Eukaryota; Metazoa; Arthropoda; Insecta; Coleoptera; Buprestidae.
CAAAGAUUAGCUCAGAAUGGGAAAGUGUGGAGGUAUGUGUCCAACCAGUCUUAGGACUGACGACCUUAUGAUAAUGAGGAACAUUGUUAAAAUUCUGGAUACCAUUUGCUAUGGAAUAUCGGUCAUAUUAGUCCUUUUUCACUCCAGGAUGUAGCUGUCCCUGAAUGAAGCAUAGAAUACCUUUUGUUCACUGGAAAUAGGCAGUGCCAAUGCUGUUGCUAAAGGAAGGAUUUACAAUGAUGAAUGGAAUAAUAAAUGAAUAUGGAGACAGUGGAUCAAAAAGGCUUGGAAUAUGCAAAAGCGGAGCCCCACUCAUGUUAUUCUCUUGAGAUUGGAAAAGAUUCAUUUGUGGAAAGAGUCACAAAGAAACAAAAAAUAAGGAUUGGAAACUUGGACUCUCCACAACCUCCCUUUAUACUUGAAAGGUGCAAUUUCUGUGAUGUUCUGUGUUUUGCGUGUUGGCUCAUUUCACCAUCAGUGUAUUUCUUCGUUGUCAACGUUUAGGAAUAGAACUGGAGCACCCUACUCCCUACUGUCUACAAUAAUCCUGGAGGUUAGCAGUUGUUUAUUAUUUUGACGGUAAUUUUCACAAUAAUGGCGAUCCUUGGGAUCUAUGGUUUCUCUUCUAUCAUCUAUUGGCCUUAGCAUAAAUUGAUGAUAGCGUGCAUCUAAGGUAGUCUAGGAACUAUCUAUUGUUCACAUCAUUGGAUUAUCCAACAAAUGAAAGAGACUAAAGUGGUGUUGUCUUUUGUGAACUAUAUAUUCUUGAUUUGCUGUUUUCGUCUCCAGCUUGCAACAUCAUGAAGUUAAUUUUCCACUGAUAAAUGAGAGCAACAGGAGAUUUACUGAAACAACAUUUUGUGCUGUGGUAUUCCUUCUGGAUUUAGUCUGCAUUUCACAUCUGCAAACUUUAAAAAGUUACAGUCUACAAUUAAUUAAGAUCGACGUUGGAGAAGACAAAGAUGACCCCGUAGC